Long non-coding RNA from Apis cerana (Asiatic honeybee), 3387 nucleotides. RefSeq lists it as uncharacterized. Lineage: Eukaryota; Metazoa; Arthropoda; Insecta; Hymenoptera; Apidae. The record is from RefSeq and is a predicted model, not a curated record.
AAGAAUCUGGUAAGGAAAAACAAAUCUUUUUAACGAGAGAAACCAAAAACUAAAAUUUACAGUCAUAUAUUUGAAAAUAUAUUUUUAAAUUUAAAACGAUGAAAAAUAUUCUACAUCUCCAUAUGUUAUAACAAUUCUGAAUGGUAUGAAUCUCUUUGUCUUUUAAACUUUCGAUUGACAAAUCAAUUAAGUCGUUACUGCAUUAUGAAAGUAGUUAUUUAAUCGACUCGUCAACUGAAAGUUUCAAAAGUAAAGGAAUUCCUGAAUUGCAUAAGCCAUCUUCAAGGAAUUAUUUACAAUUGGUAAUAGUUAAAUGAUUUCUGAAUUGUCUCUCUCUCUAUAUAAAAUAACAGCAAGAAUUAUAUUUCCUUUUAAUCAACUCAUUUAUUCUAAUUUCCCAAUAAAAUUAUUUUCGAAUUACAGUGUCUAAUUUCUAUUUUCUUUUUUUUUUUUAAGAAACCAAUAUUUCCAAAUAAUUCUCGUAGAAUUAUAUGAUUACAUCCUUUUCCACAGAUCAUCACAUCUUCACAGCCGCAUCCAAUAACGUAUUAUAAAACAGACGAGUCUCGAUCGAUUAGCAUACGUUUUAAAAUCCGCACGAAAAACAUCGGUGUUAUUAAUACGUUAUUUUGCAUAAUGCAUGAUGGAGGGGUGGGUUUCUUUUCUGAUUUGGCCGACGAUCUAGCUCGUUCGUCUUUGUCUUAUAGGGGAAUCGUGAACAGAAUUCGGAGGUUCUUUCACGAUGUGUCGCGGCCGUUUAGAAGGUAAAACAGCACGAUGGAACGUGAUUGUGCAAGAAUCAUAGAAUUAGAAGGACAACCGGAUUCCACGAGCCGUUCAACGAUGAUCGUGCCUUUUGUUUUGUUAGUUGGCGGAUUCCUGAUUAUCGAUUCAGGACAAAUCCUCUUGAAAUUCGAGGAUUACCAGGGAUGAUACGUCUCGCGGAAAGUAGAAGAAGAUCAUAAAGGUCUGGAAGCCUAUGGACGGUUGAAAUCCUGUUGAACUAUUGAAAUCGUUUAAGUUAAACUAUGUUUGGUAUAAUAAAUCCUUCCUGAAAUGUUGGAAAUGUUAGACACGCUCUCGGUAAUAUGGUAAAUCGGUUUGAAAAUUUAAGAGCUUUCGUGGUCAGCUUCUGGGCAAACCGCACAUGAUUCAAUAGUGGAUUUUAAUGAAUUCUAUCAAUUUUCAUUGCAACCGCCUUGCGCAGAUAUGUGCCACUGUACGAAUUCAAUUUCGACCGAUGCUUCUUCCUGUUAUCUUGCUACUGUCGUAAAAAAAUAAUUAGUAGAAGAAAAAGAAUUUUAUUGCACAGAUUUAUCUUAAUUGCCGGUGUUGUGAUAUAUAUAUAUCUGCAACUCUGCUUCCGCUUUUCUUGCGAGCUUCAUUUCUAUAUAGAAGGAAACAACUUUGGUAGAUAAAUUCAUCUAAUGUAUUAUCGUGGAAAUUACUUUUUAUUAUAUGUAAUUAGUUCAACAAUACUUCAAGAGCGUCUAAUUUAUUUCAAGCUUUAUUUCAAACUUCGGAUCUUCACGAUCUUCAUUAACUUCACUUCACAAUACUUCUUACUAAUUCUCCAAUCAAAUUAUAUCAAAUAGGAAAAGCACGAAAACUUAACAAACUUAACAUUAAAAUUCAAAAUAUAAUCAAGGAUAAAUCACUUAACCCCUUAAAUGUCUAUUCAAAGCACCACAACUUUUCCUUCAACUUUCAAAUCCAAUUACACGUCCAAAUCCAAUUAUACGAAACAAAAAGAAAAUCUAUCAAAAAAGAAAAACUUAACAUUUCGUGGGAUUAGAAUAAAUCACCCCAUCCAUAUACAACACAAUAACCCCAAUAAUGUCCACUUGAAUCUCCACACUUCCUCUGAAAAUCCACCGCAAUCCCCGCAAUAAUCCAACCAUUCCGCAUCCAACGCGGCACAUCAACUAAUUUAUCCAUGCACGUAUCCACGAAUCGCGAUGGAGGAAAGUUCUCCUUCUAUCCUUCUGCGAAGGCUUAACUUCCGUUCCCCACGCGCACAAGCGUAAACACGGAUAGAGACAAGGAGAUCGCGUUACGUAAGGUUUAGCAGACAUAUUGUCGGCUCAAUGUUCCAUCCACGGGAUCUCAGUUGGCACAAAGGCACGCUGUGUGCAUCCCCUUCACCCCCAACCCUAUCACGCUCUACGCAACCCCCUUCUUCGCCCUAUGGAUCCGUAUUGUUCCUGCACGUCUAACCGUUAUCUGGCCACGCACCUGAUGGUUCCUCCUGCAAACAUAUUGCGGUUGUGUUGGUACGCGUGGAAAAUGGUUGGUACCACUGCCUGAUGUAUUAGAGGGAUUGAUUUCUGGCAACGUGCAUGCGUUUUAUGAUGAUUUGGAAAAUAAAUCUUUCUGAAAAAUGUGAGGAUAUUAGCGAGAUUUUAGCGAGUUUUUUUUUGAUGUUUGAUUUAUAAUUGUUUGAAGUUCUUUAAAUCUAGCAAUUUUUUAUAAUUCAUCAGUGAAUUCUGCAAUGAAUACGAAUAUUUUAUUCCUGUUACUAUAUUAGAUAUAAUGUUUUAGUUUUUUAUUUUUUUUAAUUUUCUUUUAUUGUUAUUUUCACCAUUGAAACUAAAAUUAUAUAUUUAGAUUUAUAUUAAACUUAUAAAUAUGAGAAAUUAUUCUGAUUAGAACUUUUAUACGGGGAACAAGUUUUAAAACUUUAUUAUCAUUGUUAUAUUAAUUUUUUUUAUCUUUUCUUGUUGUAUCAUAUUAUCAUGUGAUAUAUUAUAGGGGGAUAAUGAAAUGAUUUGGAAUUUAUUUCUUCAAGAUUCCAAGAAAAGAAUUUAUUCUUUUUUUGUUAUAGAUUUACGAAGAUAUUUUUAGGGAUACUAAUUUUUGUUGGAUUUAUCUGAGCUUUCUAUAUAUUUCUAUUCUCUUUCUUUUCGUGGAUAUAAUUUAUGAAGGGAUGAAGAAGGUUAGAAAUAUAAUUUUGGUUAGAAUAUCCUCAAAGAAGAUCAUGGAUAUUCGAAUUUUUCUUUUUUUUUUUUAAGUUAUUGAAUAUAUUGAAUUGUCUAAACUGUACAUAUUUAAUUAUCUUUUUUAUGUAUAUCUGUAUUUGUAUAUUUGUAAUGAAUACGCAAUUGAGAAAGAAGUUGCAAGAGUGGUUCAAAGCUAAUGGAAUUUUUGUCGAGGAAAAACUGAAGAGUUUUAGGAGAGAAGUAACAUAAUUUUACCGAAGUUUCGAGACAUGCUUAAGUGUUCUAUUAAAGGAAAAUUAUUAAAUGAUGUUUUACAUCCUUUGAAGUAAAUUUCAGGCUUAAAAUUAUCUUUUUUAAAUUAUAGAAUUUUUUAAUUCAUUAAAAAAUAAAUUCUUUUAACUUAUCCACUCUCUUCUAAUCAAAUACAAUUCUCUUAUUCGAAAUGAAA